UACGAAGGGGGCCAGCGUUGUUCGGAAUUACUGGGCGUAAAGCGCACGUAGGCGGGUCUGUAAGUAGGGGGUGAAAUCCCAGGGCUCAACCCUGGAACUGCCUUCUAGACUGCAGGCCUCGAGGUCAGGAGAGGCGAGUGGAAUACCGAGUGUAGAGGUGAAAUUCGUAGAUAUUCGGUGGAACACCAGUGGCGAAGGCGACUCGCUGGACUGAUACUGACGCUGAGGUGCGAAAGCGUGGGGAGCAAACAGG
RNAcentral lists this ribosomal RNA (253 nucleotides) under uncultured bacterium. Its description in RNAcentral is "partial 16S ribosomal RNA". It matches the Rfam family "Bacterial small subunit ribosomal RNA", at positions 524 to 776 of the family's 1533-position model. The record is from RNAcentral.